RNAcentral lists this ribosomal RNA (499 nucleotides) under uncultured bacterium. RNAcentral describes it as "bacterial SSU rRNA". It matches the Rfam family "Bacterial small subunit ribosomal RNA", at positions 899 to 1397 of the family's 1533-position model. The record is from RNAcentral.
ACUCAAAUGAAUUGACGGGGGCCCGCACAAGCGGUGGAGCAUGUGGUUUAAUUCGACGCAACGCGAAGAACCUUACCAGGUCUUGACAUCGCGGCGCAAGGCCAAGAGAUUGGCCCCUCCCUUCGGGGACGCCGUGACAGGUGGUGCAUGGUUGUCGUCAGCUCGUGUCGUGAGAUGUUGGGUUAAGUCCCGCAACGAGCGCAACCCUUGUUAUUAGUUGCCAGCAAGCAAGAUGGGCACUCUAAUGAGACUGCCGGUGACAAACCGGAGGAAGGUGGGGAUGACGUCAAAUCAUCAUGCCCUUUAUGACCUGGGCUACACACGUGCUACAAUGGCCUGCACAAAGGGAGGCGAAGGGGCGACCCGGAGCAAAUCCCAUAAAACAGGUCUCAGUUCGGAUUGCAGGCUGCAACUCGCCUGCAUGAAGUCGGAAUCGCUAGUAAUCGCAAAUCAGCACGUUGCGGUGAAUACGUUCCCGGGCCUUGUACACACCGCCCGU